UUCCGUAGGUGUAGGUCCAUAUGGUGUACGUUCCAUAGGUAUAGAUCCAUAGGUGUAGGUUCCGUAGGUGUAGGUCCAUAUGGUGUAGGUUCCGUAGGUAUAGGUCCAUAUGGUGUAGGUUCCGUAGGUAUAGGUCCAUAUGGUGUAGGUUCCGUAGGUAUAGAUCCAUAGGUGUAGGUCCAUAUGGUGUAGGUUCCGUAGGUGUAGGUCCAUAUGGCGUAGGUUCUGUAGGUGCAGGACUAUAUGGUGUAGGUUCCAUAGAUGUACGAUCCAUAGGUAUAGGUCCAUAUGGUAUAGAUUUCAUAGAUGUAGGUAUAUAGGU
Molecule: non-coding RNA, 322 nt
Organism: Ceratotherium simum simum (southern white rhinoceros)
Lineage: Eukaryota; Metazoa; Chordata; Mammalia; Perissodactyla; Rhinocerotidae
Source: RefSeq, a predicted model, not a curated record